This 897-nucleotide long non-coding RNA is filed under the name Daucus carota (carrot). RNAcentral's name for it is "long non-coding RNA (DCAR_LNC002223)". Lineage: Eukaryota; Viridiplantae; Streptophyta; Magnoliopsida; Apiales; Apiaceae. The record is from RNAcentral.
CUGGGACCGCAGAAUCGUUUAACUUAAGCUACUGCCCGGCCUUUCCAUUCCGGCGUUUUGGACGUGAUAGUUUGUCCAAGAACAUGGGCUAAGGUCUCCAUUUUUUCUUAUAUAGACAUUCUUUGCUAUAGUUGUCAUGUCAUCACGCAGCUUCACAUCAUUUCGAUUUUGAUUUUUCUGGUGCGUAUGAUGAUUGAUGAUGAAGAGCAUGCCAGCAUUGUUAUCCUUCUAGAACAGAUUGCAUUCACGAUUCAUAUCAGUAAGUAAUUUUACCUCUUCAUGAAUUCUCAUUAAAUUUGAGGUAGGGAUAGCUUAUUUUCGCGAUGAUGGCUCACAUUAAACGACUUCACACUGUCUCUUUUCUUUUUAAUUACUAAUAUUUCUGGUCAGAAGGUGAUUGUAAUUGCAUGAACCAACAUUGCAGUACAUCUCUUCUGUGUUGAAAUUAGUAGCACUUCCAAACAUUUCUGAUUUACAGGAGUAUAAUUUCCAAACAGCGCUAAUUAAUCCGCUAAUUAAUUUCCAAACAUUUCUGAUUUACAGGGUAUUAAAAAACUCUGAGUUUCAGUUUUAGCAGCAAUUCAUUAUAGAGCUGAUCAACAAUAAAAUCUGGUUAAAGUUAGUGAAGCAUGCGAACAACUUGUGAAGACUUAAGUUCGUAAUAGAAUGCAGUUCAGUUUUCGAUUGGGAAUGGACUAUCGGCUCUUGUUUUCUGCAAGUAGAAGCAACGAAAACAGUUCGGGAAUGGAAACAUACACAUCCACCGUUCGUACAAAAGAUAGAAAAGCCUCUAAGUUACGGGAAAGGAAAUAGUUUAUAUAGGACAAAUAUGAUAUACACGAAAUUAUAAUUUCAUUGACCCUUUAUUUUUUCAAAUUCAUAAUAUUAUCUAUUACC